GUCCCCAUGGCUAUUAAAACUCUGUACUACCAUGAGCCGUCCAUCUCUUUAUAUUCACAAUAAUACAUGAGGUACGGUUCCCUUGGUUUAUGGGAACAAAAGAACCACGGUUUCUUUUGUUUGUAUGACAAAAGACCCCCACCUCACAUGAGAGCAAGAAUGUUGAUCUUCUUUUGCUCGGGCUUUGGAUUGCGUGCACCUCCCUCCCAUCCCUCCCCC
Molecule: long non-coding RNA, 219 nt
Filed under: Physcomitrium patens
Lineage: Eukaryota; Viridiplantae; Streptophyta; Bryopsida; Funariales; Funariaceae
Description: long non-coding RNA (PPAT_LNC000528)
Source: RNAcentral